This 484-nucleotide ribosomal RNA is filed under the name uncultured bacterium. RNAcentral describes it as "partial 16S ribosomal RNA". It matches the Rfam family "Bacterial small subunit ribosomal RNA", at positions 28 to 507 of the family's 1533-position model. The record is from RNAcentral.
AUUGAACGCUGGCGGCAUGCUUUACACAUGCAAGUCGAACGGCAGCGCGGGCUUCGGCCUGGCGGCGAGUGGCGAACGGGUGAGUAAUGCAUCGGAACGUGCCCAGUAGUGGGGGAUAGCCCGGCGAAAGCCGGAUUAAUACCGCAUACGACCUGAGGGUGAAAGCGGGGGACCGAAAGGCCUCGCGCUAUUGGAGCGGCCGAUGUCGGAUUAGCUAGUUGGUGGGGUAAAGGCUUACCAAGGCGACGAUCCGUAGCUGGUCUGAGAGGUCGACCAGCCACACUGGGACUGAGACACGGCCCAGACUCCUACGGGAGGCAGCAGUGGGGAAUUUUGGACAAUGGGGGCAACCCUGAUCCAGCCAUGCCGCGUGCGGGAAGAAGGCCUUCGGGUUGUAAACCGCUUUUGUUCGGGAAGAAAUCCUCUGGGCUAAUACCCCGGGGGGAUGACGGUACCGGAAGAAUAAGCACCGGCUAACUACGUG